This 440-nucleotide ribosomal RNA is filed under the name uncultured bacterium. RNAcentral's name for it is "bacterial SSU rRNA". It matches the Rfam family "Bacterial small subunit ribosomal RNA", at positions 338 to 795 of the family's 1533-position model. The record is from RNAcentral.
CCUACGGGGGGCAGCAGUGGGGAAUAUUGCACAAUGGGGGAAACCCUGAUGCAGCGACGCCGCGUGAGCGAAGAAGUAUUUCGGUAUGUAAAGCUCUAUCAGCAGGGAAGAAACUGACGGUACCUGACUAAGAAGCACCGGCUAAAUACGUGCCAGCAGCCGCGGUAAUACGUAUGGUGCAAGCGUUAUCCGGAUUUACUGGGUGUAAAGGGAGCGUAGACGGAUAGGCAAGUCUGGAGUGAAAGCCCGGGGCUCAACCCCGGGACUGCUUUGGAAACUGUUUAUCUAGAGUGCUGGAGAGGUAAGUGGAAUUCCUAGUGUAGCGGUGAAAUGCGUAGAUAUUAGGAGGAACACCAGUGGCGAAGGCGGCUUACUGGACAGUAACUGACGUUGAGGCUCGAAAGCGUGGGGAGCAAACAGGAUUAGAUACCCCAGUAGUC